This is an RNA transcript of Populus euphratica (Euphrates poplar), 2441 nucleotides long. RefSeq lists it as uncharacterized. NCBI's taxonomy places the organism in Eukaryota, Viridiplantae, Streptophyta, Magnoliopsida, Malpighiales, Salicaceae. The record is from RefSeq and is a predicted model, not a curated record. The transcript has 3 exons.
GUAGAAGAUACCUCGUGUCCCACUAGACUAGUAUGAGAUAGCUUCCGUACCACUUGACCAGCAAAUGUGUUUUGCACAAGUAUGAUUGAUUAUAAUUUUUAUGUUUGAAUUAACUAUUAAGACAAUGUUUUGGGUAGUUGAUUUGCUGUGGAACUUAGAUUGAUGUUGGAAAUGGAAUAUUUUCAAAUUAAUUGAUGAUAUUUUGGAAUAAUCUCCUAUAGCAUUAUCGGUCUCCUUUUCAUAAUUGAUUUGUUAUAAUCCAAGCGUUUCUUUUGAAUUCUCUGGCAUGCACCUGUCCGCAUCACAAUGCUUGUUAAAUGAUCUGGUGGCAGCUGCCAUCUUUGGGUACUGAGAUUUUACCAUCAUUCGGGUGCUUCAAUCAUGGUUUACAGCUGGUGGGGUGCACCGAUCCUCGUAUAGUUUGAGAAGAAUAAAGUUUGAGAAGAAUAAAGGUAAGGCUGCAUUGUAAAUGUCGGUGAACAUAUCAAUGGCCUCUACUUUUGUUUUUUCUCUUUCCUACUUUCCAUGGUAAUGUAGGGGGUGAUCUCAGGCACUUUUUUGAAGCAAGGGGAAGAUAUAAGCUCAUCCUUGCUCUGCAAAAAGUACAUUUUGAGUCUGCUCAACUGUCAAAUAUUACAUACAGUGUAAUUAAGAGAUGUAAGUGUUGCUAUAACAAACAAGCCUUUAAGCGAACCUUGAUGGAGUUCAGUGGGUGUUGUCAAAUUUCCCACUCUUUUCUCCCUCCGCUUGAUCCUGUUAUAAGGUUUAAAGUAGAGGUGUUCAUAUGCAUGCAAUAACUCGUGGCGUGAUCUGUUAGGAGAAUGUGACCUCUUCUAUGCUAUCCAGGCACAGAUAGGACUCUUGAUUGGCACCCUCGAGUGCUCAACGAAUCUUGAAUGUGUGAGGUAUGCAGGGAGGGCAUACUCACCAACGCGAUCUCGAAUUCGUGCCAAUUUUUUUAGGACUAAUAAAUUGAUUUCACUUGUAAAUUAGCAUCUACCAAACGGAGCAGGUCAGAGACUAUAUCCUAAACAAUACUGAAGCAAAUCAAGCGCUCUACAGGAUUAUUGAUCAAGUCUUCUCGGAAAAUUGCAUCCGAAUGAUCUAAAUUCUUCCCGGUACUGGAAGAUCCUUAGGAUCCUCCGAUGUAUUCGGAAGGAUGAUCAGUGGGAAACUGUGUUUUUCACUGAAGAUGACAAUCACUGGGAAAGGGGAAUGCAGUAUUAUAAAUGCUUCAUAAUGUAAGAGAGCUAACUUUGGAGUUCAUGUAUAAAAAUUGCAAAAUGUGAAAGGCAAAAUGCUUGAUUUUUCUCCUGCAAAGAACACGCGUCGUUGUCAGGUGUAACACUGUAAAAACUUCUAUUAAAGAGAAAUUGAUGAAGAAAACGAAGGAAGCUCAUUUCAGUUUUCAGGACUGUUAAAGACUGAUGAAUAAUGUCUUUUCGACUGUCUGCACAAUUUCCAUAUGCCUUCCUUUUUCACAACAAGACCGUGAAAUCGGCACCAGAAAGUUCAUAAUCACUCGAUUCUCUUCUCUCACAGGUAAAGGGGCCAACUUUUAGAGUUACCAAACAGCAAACCCCCUGUUAGAUUGUUCGUUUUGCCACUGGCAUUUAGGGAAUCUCAAUUUGUUCAUUUGUGAUUAUUGACAUGGCAAGGAUGUCUGUGUUUGGAUUCUGGGCUCUGAUCCUCCUAGCUGGAACUGCCUACUUGUCUUCCACUUACUCGUCUUCUCAUGGUCAUGGUUCUGCAUAACCUAGUUGCAUAGCUGGAAGAGCUCUGCACCAAGUUAAUAUAGUGGUCAGUGGUCCUACCUUUCCAUAUUAAGGAAGAUGUCAUGUGAAAUUGAUUUUUUCGAGCUCAUCGGACUUUCGUAUCAUGACCUGUGACGAACAAAAAAUUUCAAAUUCUUAAUUGAAGUUUAAUACUGUCUCUUUUCUGAUCAUUUCUGUUAUAUCGAAUUAAACCCAGAUUUGAAUUUCUCCAAAACUGAAGAUAGCACAACAGCUACAACAUCAUUCAAAGAACCAAAGGAGGGAUGCUAUAGUCAGCGCAUUUCUAGUGAAGAGAUUCAGAAGGACAACAUAAAUAUGGAGGGCUAUAGCAAUAUUGAUCCAACUCCGAAAUCUACUGCCACCAUAGUAUCCAGACCAAUCGAGCAUGGCACUCCUCUCGUACCUUACAUUCCAGGACCAACACUGCUGGAUCACCCGAAGCCAGGCAGGUUCAAAUCACCGCCUUCGCCUGCUUAACCGUUUUAUCACCAGCCAAAAACAAGUCCUUACAUCAGACAUGGUAGUUUUGAAAUACGGAGCUAUUUCAAAGAUGAGGUUGUUUUCUGAAGUCUUAUAUCAGGUAGUCACCAUCAUAAGCUGUCCUUAGUUUGUUUGCUUGAAUGAUGAAAUCUUAAAGGCAGACUUGUAUAUCGCAUCGUUGCAAAA